GGUGGCAUGGCUCAGGAGGUAGAGCGGGCAGCCUAGAAAGCAGAAGGCUCGGUUCGAUCCCGGCCCUCU
This is a non-coding RNA of Gymnothorax javanicus (giant moray), 69 nucleotides long. The record is from the annotation of a GenBank genome assembly. Lineage: Eukaryota; Metazoa; Chordata; Actinopteri; Anguilliformes; Muraenidae.